AAGUCGUAACAAGGUUUCCGUAGGUGAACCUGCGGAAGGAUCAUUAAUGAAUUUUACCAACAAAGUUGUCGCUGGCCUCCUGGGCAUGUGCACACUUUGUUAAUUCAUCCACACACCUCUGUGCACUUUUCAUAGAUUGACGUUAUAGUGGGCAACCGCUGGUCUCUCUGUGUACUUUUAACAAACAUCAGUUUAAGAAUGUACGCUUGCGAUAAUCGCAUUGAAAUACAACUUUCAGCAACGGAUCUCUUGGCUCUC
This 258-nucleotide unclassified non-coding RNA is filed under the name Hyphoderma setigerum. RNAcentral's name for it is "partial internal transcribed spacer region". The stretch from base 1 to 46 matches the Rfam family "Eukaryotic small subunit ribosomal RNA", at positions 1786 to 1831 of the family's 1831-position model. Lineage: Eukaryota; Fungi; Basidiomycota; Agaricomycetes; Polyporales; Hyphodermataceae. The record is from RNAcentral.